UACGUAGGGGGCUAGCGUUGUCCGGAUUUAUUGGGCGUAAAGAGCGUGUAGGCGGCCAGGUAGGUCUGCUGUGAAAACUCGAGGCUCAACCUCGAGACGUCGGCGGAAACCAUCUGGCUAGAGUCCGGAAGAGGAGAGUGGAAUUCCUGGUGUAGCGGUGAAAUGCGCAGAUAUCAGGAGGAACACCGAUGGCGAAGGCAGGUCUCUGGGCCACUACUGACGCUGAGAAGCGAAAGCGUGGGGAGCGAACAGG
Molecule: ribosomal RNA, 253 nt
Filed under: uncultured bacterium
Lineage: Bacteria
Description: partial 16S ribosomal RNA
Rfam family: Bacterial small subunit ribosomal RNA
Source: RNAcentral